This 2980-nucleotide long non-coding RNA is filed under the name Sus scrofa (pig). Its description in RNAcentral is "lncRNA (ENSSSCG00015011660.1)". Lineage: Eukaryota; Metazoa; Chordata; Mammalia; Artiodactyla; Suidae. The record is from RNAcentral.
GGGGGGGGCCCUGCACCUGCAGCAUAUGUAGGUUCCCAGGCUAUGGUCCAAUUGGAGCUGUACCCACCAGCCUAUGCCACAGCCAUAGCAAUGUGGGAUCUGAGCCAUGUCUGUGAUCUACCCACAGCUCACGGCAAUGCUACAUCCUUAACCCACUGACUGAGGCCAGGGAUUGAACCAACAUCCUCAUGGAUACUAGUCAGGUUCAUUCACCCCUGAGCCAAGACGGGAACUCCUCCUCCUUAUAUUUUCCAGUUCCUUUCUAAAGUAAACUGCAUUACUAUUUAUAUCUGCUCUUAUUUCCUUCACAUUCACCCUUAAUUCCUUCAGUAUUUUCACUAUCUCCUUUUUGAACUCAGCGUCUGUUACACUUUACAGGUCUGUUUCACUGUUUGCUGCUUCAGGUGAAUACUCUUGUACUUGAGUCUUCAGGUGAAUUCUCUCUUAUGAAUACUCUUGUAUCUUUAACUACGUUCUUUGGGAAUGGUUCCUGAGCUUCAUUUUGCUUAUAUUUUUCUCAUUCUGUGAGUUUAGGGAAACCAACUACUGCAGUUUUGGAGGGCUAUUUUAUAUGCAAGAGCACCCUUGUGUAUUUUGUGAGGGCUCACUAUUUAUUUUUGGCAUGGGAGUUUGGAUGCUAGCUCUUUCUUCAUUGUGAGCAGGCUGUUAUCCUUGAUAGGGUGCUGUGUGUGCUUCUAGGGAGAUGUUGGCAAUGGGCAGUGGUAGUAGCCAGAGCCUGGUUUCUGGGCCCUUGAUAUUAGUAAAGAUCUGCCAGAAGUCAGCCCAGGAUGCUCCUAGUUUCAGGGCCCUGGGAAGUGGCAAUGAGUCUCAGGCAGGUUUAGGUGGCAACCAGAGCAUUUGGCAGUGGCAGCAGCAGAGUGUGUGUGUUCCCAGAGGAGUGAGAGGAACAAUGGGUGCUGCUCAGUUGCAGACCCCUCCUCUGUGCCAUUCUCUGAGGUGACUGAGGCUGUAGGUGCUGCCUGUUCACAGACCCCCUAAUGGUGGUUGGCCACACCCACCUCUGGGAUCUGAGAUAACUGUGGUGGUUUGCCCCCACUACCUAUAGACCACACAAGAAGUGCUCCAUCCCACCUGGCCCACGCAGGAGGUAUUGCCACCCAUAGCUGGCACAAGGGGCACCUCACCACCCAUAGCCUCAUCCUCUGAGAAUCUGCAUGAGCACAUAGAGAGAUAUUCCUACAGCAGUCCACUCCUUCUCUUCUUGCUCUCCUCAACAAUAGCACUUUGUUUCUCCUGCUGGCUGAGACCUCCUCCCACAUUCCCUCAGCUAUGGUGCUCUGCUCCCCAGCCCUUGGCACACUGCUCCAUAGCUCCCGCAGGCUGUCUCCACACCACCAACCCUAGUCCUCUCCCCAGAACUGACUGGAGCCUGAGUCUCAGCACACAGCCCCAACCCGAGAAUCUGAGGUUGUGGUGUCCAGAGGCAGUGGAUAGUCUCUGUGGCUCUCUCUCUGCUUUGCCCAUUUCAGUCCAGCUGUGGUGCUUUUUUAUUGCUUUGAGGUUCCUCCAUCUUGGCUGAUCUCCCUGUCAGUUAGAUGACUUCACAGAGUGUGAGUUCCUUUUCUCUUUCUCAACUCCCUCUCAAGGGUGCUGGUCCUGUCCUGAUUCCUUUCUCUUUCUCUAUUUUUUUUUCCUUUUGUUCUACUCAGUUAUGUGGAGGGUUUCUUGCUCUUUUUGGAGGUUUAACAUCUUCUGCCAGCAUUCAGUAGGUGUUCUGUGAAAAUGGUCCUACAUGCAGAUGGGUUUUUUCCCAUGUGUUUGUGGGAGAUGGUGAGUGCCAUGUCUUACUCCUCUAUCUUUAUCCUGCUCCAUAAAACAAUUUUAAACAAUAAAUUGAUUUUAAAACUCGUACCCAAACGUUCAUAGUAGCACUGUUGACAAUAGGCAAAAAGUGGAAACAAUUGAAAUGUCCAUCAACUGAUGAAUCAAUAAAUGUAGUAUGUCUACACAAUUGAUUAUUAAUCAGCCGUAAAAAGGAAUUGAGUUCUGAUACAUGCCAUAACAUGGGUGAACCUCAAAAAUAUUAAGCUAAGUGAAAAAAGCUAGGCAAAAAAGGUCACAUAUUUUAUGUGCCCAUCUAUAUAAAACAUUAAGAAUAGGCAAAUUCAUAGAAACAGAAAGCAUAUUAGUUGUGCUGAGGGGAAGGGGGGAGGAAUAGGGAGUGACUGAUUCAUGGCUAAAGGUUUCCCUUUGGGGUGAUGAACAUAUUCUGGAACUAGAUAGUGGUGAUGGCUAUACAACAUUGUGAAAAUAAUACAUGACCCUGAAUUGUAUACUUUAAAAUGAUUAGUUUUAUGUAAAAUUAUAAAAGUAAAACACAAAAAUUUAAAAAAACUCACAACACAAAAAGUCAUAAAGUAGAACAUGAAAAUUCUCCUCCAUAUCCCCAGAUCUCCACUCCUACUCUACAAAAGCAAAUGUUAUUUAGCUCUUCAAUAUUAAUACUGCCUUCCAUAAAUUUGCUUUAUAUGUGUGCUUAUAAGGGUAUGGGGUGCAAGGAGGGUACUGUAUGGUCAAACUGUCCAUUUAAACUACUGGAAAACCUUGGGUUCUAAAAAUUCCUAAAUCAGUAUAUAUAAGCCCAGAAGACCUCACUUUGAAUUAGAAUUACCUUAUAAUUGCUUUAGCCCUGGAUCAUAAAAGUCUCCAACAAUGCUUGUAGAGUGGAAGGAAAGGAAAAGAGAAGGCCUCAAAUGACUGAUACUGGGUUUUCCAAUAAUUGUGUGGGUUGGGCUCAAACUGGUUCUCUUAAAAUUUGAGAAAUGAGGGGAAAACAUGAUAAUAUUGGUACCCAAAUGGGUACAUCAGUACAUUUCUGAUAUAUUAAUCACUGAUAGCAUUUAAAUGAAGGUUGAACAGAUAUGUUAUAUGGGUGAAAUGGUCCUAUUUGAAGCACGAGAUUAUAGAAUCUAGAGGUUUUUAACAUUCAGAAAUUACUUGCUUUUUUGAGAUUUGAUUA